GCCCUAGUAGCUCAGC
RNAcentral lists this transfer RNA (16 nucleotides) under Salvelinus malma malma. RNAcentral's name for it is "partial tRNA-Thr". RNAcentral also lists the same sequence under 3 other names. Lineage: Eukaryota; Metazoa; Chordata; Actinopteri; Salmoniformes; Salmonidae. The record is from RNAcentral.